CGCCCGGGGAUCCCUGAUCCAGCCCCUGGAUGAGCCCUCAAUAUUUUCCUUAUAUGAUCGGGCCUUUUUGUAGGCGGCGCCGCCUGCCCGGAGCCUGAGAGGAUUAUGAAAAUUGCCGGGUGAUGUGGGGCCAGGGGACCGGGCG
RNAcentral lists this small nucleolar RNA (145 nucleotides) under Dasypus novemcinctus (nine-banded armadillo). RNAcentral describes it as "small Cajal body-specific RNA 17 (ENSDNOG00000030469.1)". It matches the Rfam family "small Cajal body-specific RNA 17". From Rfam's summary of the family: scaRNAs are a specific class of small nuclear RNAs which localise to the Cajal bodies and guide the modification of RNA polymerase II transcribed spliceosomal RNAs U1, U2, U4, U5 and U12. The complete human U12-22/U4-8 scaRNA is composed of two tandem C/D box domains (termed U12-22 and U4-8). The 3' C/D domain (U4-8) was also cloned previously by Darzacq and called U91. The record is from RNAcentral. Lineage: Eukaryota; Metazoa; Chordata; Mammalia; Cingulata; Dasypodidae.